UACAGAGGUCUCAAGCGUUGUUCGGAUUCAUUGGGCGUAAAGGGUGCGUAGGUGGCGCGCUAAGUCAGGUGUGAAAUUUCGGAGCUUAACUCCGAAACUGCAUUUGAUACUGGCGUGCUUGAGGACUGGAGAGGAGACUGGAAUUCAUGGUGUAGCAGUGAAAUGCGUAGAGAUCAUGAGGAAGACCAGUGGCGAAGGCGGGUCUCUGGACAGUUCCUGACACUGAGGCACGAAGGCCAGGGGAGCAAACGGG
RNAcentral lists this ribosomal RNA (253 nucleotides) under uncultured bacterium. RNAcentral describes it as "partial 16S ribosomal RNA". It matches the Rfam family "Bacterial small subunit ribosomal RNA", at positions 524 to 776 of the family's 1533-position model. The record is from RNAcentral. RNAcentral also lists the same sequence under 1 other name.